UUUCAGUUCACUAAAGAUGGGAGUUUGGACGGAAAUAGUACUACUUGCCCGAUCUGUUUGUGCGAGUUCAAGGAUUUCGAGAUGCUAAGAAUGAUGCCGGAGUGCAGACAUUAUUUUCACUUGUGUUGUAUCGAUGCUUGGCUGAAACUUAAUGGGUCUUGUCCGGUAUGUCGGAACUCACCGCUUCCGACUCCGCUGUCUACGCCAUUGUCGGAGGUGGUGCCACUGUCGCAGUACGCUGCUGAUCGAAGGAGGAGGAGGUGAUUUGAUCUUGUUUGGUUGUUUUUGGAGUGGUGGUGAGUGAUUUGGGGGUCUUUUAUCGUGUGUUUUGGGAUUGAAAUUGUAAAUUUUGUUAAUUUCUGAAUAGGCAUAGGUAGUGGGAUUUUGGAUUUUUUUUUUUUUUUUUUUUUU
RNAcentral lists this unclassified non-coding RNA (411 nucleotides) under Hevea brasiliensis (rubber tree). The record is from RNAcentral. Lineage: Eukaryota; Viridiplantae; Streptophyta; Magnoliopsida; Malpighiales; Euphorbiaceae.